AUCUACCUACCGGUCUGUCCGUCCAUCUAUCCAUCUAUCUGUCCAUCUGUCUGUCAUGUUUACACAAAUAUUUCUCCAGCAGGAUGAUGAGAAUCUUUGAGAGUUUCUGGAAGAGACACACAGCAUCUGUUGGGCACAUGUGCUGUACGGAAAGUAACCAGGCAAGUGUGAGGAGACGUGGUGGUGGAGGGAUGCUGUAAAACUGUCGAGGAAUAUGGUCACGUCUCCCCGGGGUCCUUCCACCGCAAGAGAACAGACUAAGAGAUUCCACACCGCUCACUGUGGAAGAACAUGUGUCAUUUCAAACCAGGUCUGGAGAAACCUCUCACGCUCCCUCAUGAAGGCUGAUGAAGCUCUGGAUAUGUGGACUACUUUUUUUUUUCUUUUUUUUUUUUUUUUAGCAUGUAUUACUAGCACAAACAUGUAUUACUAGACUGUCUAUAGCUGGAGUUACUGUCAGGAACUCAAUGUUCUGUUUCAAAAAGAAAAUCUAAUGGAUCCAACGUGUGUUCUGACUGACUAACAAACUCCACUUCUGAAAGACGCUCUCUAUUUUGACUGCAAUUUUCAGGUCAUACUGCAGAUUUUCAGCUGGAUUCAAAUAGUUCCAGAUUCCAGAUUUUCUUGUUUUCAAGCCAUUUCUUUAUGCACUCUUAAAAAUUAAGGUUCCAAAAGCUGACGUGAUGCCAUAGAAGAUCAUCCGUUUUGGGUUCCUCAAAGAACCUUUCAGUGAACAGUGCUUAAAGAACCAUUUUUUCUUUCUUAAAGAACCUUUUUACACUAUAAAGAACCUUUUGUGCAUCAAAAAGGUUAAAUUGAUCUUAAAGGUUCUUCACAGAACCACCAAUGCCAAUGAAGAACCUUUAUUUGACCGGACAGUUAAUAGAUCUAUAGCUAAACUUCAGAUGGAGUUGCUUGGGUGCUAAAACAACACAAACAACGCGUCUUAUAGUCUUAGUUAAUUCCCUCUGUUUUUCCCGUUUGAGUUGUUUAGUUUAAAAAUACCCAGACGUGACUAUUCCUGGGAAUCUCCUAACAUGUUUUUAAUGGUCUCUCAUUAUUCAAGAACAUGAAGUUUGUGUGAAACCGAAUUACUCGACACACAGCCUCAGAUCUGCCCUUCAAAACACACUUACUGUGGCCACACAAAAUUAACAACAACCACAUACAUAGAUUCUGACUCUGGAUCAGUUUUAUGUAGCCAUAUGUAUUAGCACAGACACAUAAACUGUAUUCAGAUCAGCACUGUAGGACACACAGGGUGGAGUGCAGACAGGCAGUCAGUGAGACAUAUUCAGUUAACAUCACAGGCGACAGCUUUCUAUGCUUUCAUGUAAGAUUUUCAGCUCACACUAAAAAAAAAUCAACUGCUCGACUUGAGACGCUGAUGUUGCUUUUGAUUGUGAAUUUCACUAUGAAGAUAUAUGCACAGAACCUCAGGUGAUACACUCUUAUAAGAAAAGAUUCUAUAGAACCUUAAAGGGAUAGUUCACCCAAAAAUGAAAAUUAUCCCAUGAUUUACUCACCCUCAAGCCAUCCUAGAUGUAUAUGACUUCUUUCAGAUGAACACAAUUGAAGUUAUAUUAAAAAAUAUCCUGGCUCUUCCAAGCUUUACAAUGGGAGUGAACGGCACUCCUGAUUUUGUAGUCCAA
Megalobrama amblycephala (Wuchang bream) is the source of this 1652-nucleotide long non-coding RNA. RefSeq lists it as uncharacterized. The transcript has 3 exons. The record is from RefSeq and is a predicted model, not a curated record. Lineage: Eukaryota; Metazoa; Chordata; Actinopteri; Cypriniformes; Xenocyprididae.